RNAcentral lists this ribosomal RNA (576 nucleotides) under uncultured bacterium. Its description in RNAcentral is "bacterial SSU rRNA". It matches the Rfam family "Bacterial small subunit ribosomal RNA", at positions 338 to 916 of the family's 1533-position model. The record is from RNAcentral.
CCUACGGGAGGCAGCAGUAGGGAAUAUUGGGCAAUGGAGGCAACUCUGACCCAGCCAUGCCGCGUGCAGGAUGAAGGCGUUAUGCGUUGUAAACUGCUUUUAUAUAGGAAGAAAUAGACCUUGCGAGGUAAGUUGACGGUACUAUAUGAAUAAGCACCGGCUAACUCCGUGCCAGCAGCCGCGGCAAUACGGAGGGUGCAAGCGUUGUCCGGAUUUAUUGGGUUUAAAGGGUGCGUAGGCGGUUUAUUAAGUCAGUGGUGAAAGACGGUCGCUCAACGAUUGCAGUGCCAUUGAUACUGGUAGACUUGAGUGUGAUUGAGGUAGCUGGAAUGGAUAGUGUAGCGGUGAAAUGCAUAGAUAUUAUCCAGAACACCAAUUGCGUAGGCAAGUUACUAAGUCACAACUGACGCUGAGGCACGAAAGUGUGGGUAUCAAACAGGAUUAGAUACCCUGGUAGUCCACACUGUAAACGAUGAUAACUAACUGUUGGCUUUUGGGUCAGUGGUACAGAGAAAUCGUUAAGUUAUCCACCUGGGGAGUACGCCGGCAACGGUGAAACGUCAAAUGAAUUGACGG